GUGGCUGUGACUCUCUUUGUGGCUGUGAUCCUGCUUUAUUUUCUGGGACUAUAUGUGUCAAAGCUUCGCUGUACUCAGGACUGGUACCAUCUGUUCCAACGCAAAUGUUUCCCUGGGCUGUUUAAUCAUGACUCAGAACCUCAGAUCCCUGCACGUGUCUCGCCUGAGGAACCUAGGAAGAAAAGACUUCUUUCUCUGGAUACAUUCAGA
Molecule: long non-coding RNA, 210 nt
Organism: Monodelphis domestica (gray short-tailed opossum)
Lineage: Eukaryota; Metazoa; Chordata; Mammalia; Didelphimorphia; Didelphidae
Source: RefSeq, a predicted model, not a curated record